UGUUCUCGAAAUAUAUUUGGAAGAAUUUUCCUUUAAAAAUUUGUGUUAUAAUUUAAUAUCAGAAAUAAAUCAUUCAAAUGGAAAAUUUUGAGGAGGAGCAUUGCAGGUUAUGCCUUAAUGUCGUAAGCGAUGGACAUUUUGAAAAGAUAAAAAACAUUACGAAGGAUAUUUUUGAUGCUCUUCUACUAAAGUUGAAUUUUGAUGAAGGAAAUGACCACAUAAUAUGUAAUGUUUGUUCAACAAAGAUAACGGAAGCAUUUAAAUUUAAGUCAAUGUGUCUCUAUACCAAUAAUACCCUAGUUCCUUACGUCAGUGAUCAAACAGGAUGUUCUGUUGACUUAAGAGAGAUUUAUGCAAAGGAAUCGGGAAACAAAAAAUUAACUGACUCAUUGGGAGAUCAUAAAGUUUGCAGGUUAUGUAUGCAGCUAAUAAUGGGCCGAUUUGUAUCCGUACAUGAACUUCAGACUGAUGUGAUUGACAAGUAUAUUCCAGAAAUAAAUUUCAGUGUUAUCGAAGAUCCCAUUAUUUGUAGACAAUGUUUUUAUUCCUUUGGUGUUCACAGCAGUUUCAUAAAGAGUUGCUUAGAAGUUCAGGAAAAAAUUAAAGGUUCCCAUAACACAGAAGACCCUGGCAAUCGAGCCUUGACAUCAAAAUUAGAUACGUAUGUGAAAACUGAGGAGAUUGAUAUAAAAUCUGAAAUAAGUGAACGUGAACAAGAAUUGCUUGAAAUUUAUUCUGUUGUGCCAGAAUUGGAAGGUAAAGAAACAUCAAAUGAAAUGGAGUAUAAAGAUAUAAAAUUGGAAGAUACAGAGAGUGGCAGAACUUCAGAUAUUUCGAUUGACAGAUUUGAACACAAGAAACUUUCUGAAAGAAAAAAAAACCUACCAGAGAAAUGCUUAAAGGAGCAGAUGAAAAUGAUUUAUAAUACAGACAUAGACUCAGAAGUACGAACAUAUGAGUGUGAUUUGUGUGAUUUUACAACCAAAUAUAAGGGAAGCCUUGAAACUCGCCAGCUAACACACGCAGACUCUUCAGAAAUACAAAUGUACAAGUGCGAUGUAUGUGAUUUUAUGACAAAAAAUAAAUACAAACUUCGACCCCACCAGUUGAAACACGCGGAUCCUUCAGAAGUGCCCUUGUACAAGUGUGAUUUGUGUGAUUUUAUGACCAAAUAUAGACGCAGCCUUAGAAGUCAUCAGUUAAAACACGCAGACUCUACAGAAGUGCAAAUGUACACGUGUGAUGUCUGCGAUUUCAGAACUAAAUAUGUAAACAAUUUUAAAGCCCAUCAGGUGAAACAUGCAGACCCUUCAGAAGUGCAUAUGUACGAGUGUAAUUCAUGUGAUUAUAAGACCAACAGAAAGUUUGUUCUUAAACGUCAUCAGUUGAAACACUCAAGAGUGGAAAAGUACAAGUGUGAUUUAUGUAAUUUCACGACUAUGUAUAAGAAUAGUUUAAAUGAUCAUCAGUUGGCACAUGCGGAUCCUUCAGAAGUGCAAAUGUACACGUGUGAUGUUUGUGAAUUUAGAACGAAAUAUAUAAACAAUUUUAGGGUCCACCAGGUCAGGCAUGCAGACCCCUCAAAAGUGAGGACAUACAAAUGUAACUCAUGUGAUUAUAAGACCAAUAGAAGGGGCGUUCUUAAGCGUCAUGAGCUGAUACACUCAGGAGUACAAAAGUACAUGUGUGAUUUGUGUGGUUUUGCGACCAACUAUAAGGACAGUCUUAAGAAGCACCAGUUUACGCAUGCAGAAAUACAAAUCUACAAGUGUGAUUUAUGUGAUUUUAACACUAAUUGUGAGAAGAAUUUUAGGAUCCAUCAGUUGAGACAUGCAGACUCUCCAGAAAGCCAAGAUCAAUAACGGUUUUGUAUGCCACCAGGACUCUUUAGAUGUGUGAAUACACGAAUGUUAUAAAAUUAAAUUAUAAAACAUUCAGAAAAGGUCUUUUCACCAGUUUCACCAGUUGGAAUGCUCAAGAGCGUGAAAGUACCAGUGAUUUGUGUGAUCUUAGGACCAAAUAUAAAGAACAAUCUUAAAACUCACCAGUUGCAACACGGGUCAAAAAUAUGGAUUGGCAGAAAUUCAGAUAUUUCAUCCGACGGAUUUGAACACAAGGAAAUUUCUGAGAUAAAAGAAAACGGAUGUUUAUCUCAGGAACAGUUAAAUAACUAUAAAAUGAAAAUGAAUAAAAACACAUACGUACAUUCAGAAGUGUUUAUGUGUGGUUUGUGUGAUUUUAAGACAAAAUAUCGGAACAGCCUUGGGACGCACCACUUGAAACACGCGGACCAUUUAGAGGUACGGAUGUACAAGUGUGAUUUAUGUCAUUUUAAAUCCAAAUAUAAAAACAGUCUCAACCUUCAUCAAUUAAAACAUGCGGACCCUUCACAAGUACAAAUGUACAAAUGUGAUUUGUGUAAUUUUAAAUCCAAAUACAAAACCAGCCUUAGUCUUCAUCAGUUGAAACAUGCGGACCCUUCAGAGAUACAGAUGUACAAAUGUGAUUUGUGUAAUUUUCAGUCCAAAUACAAAAACAGUCUUAGCCUUCAUCAGCGGAAACAUGGGAAAGUACGAACGUACAGGUGUAAUUCGUGUGAUUUUAAAACCAAAUGUAAAGACAGACUUAGGAGUCACAGGUUAAGACACGUGAGACGAAAAAUAAAAGACGUUACGUAUGCCAUUUGGUGAGCCGCCAAGACAUUCCACAAGUGAGAAUAUACAAAUGCGAUUACAAUGGCAAAAAUAAAAUCUCUUUAAAACGCCGCCAAUUAGUACACAAGGGCUGCUCGGAAGUGACGAUGUACACAUGCGAGUCGUGUGAUUUUCUACCAAACACUCUUAAGGCCCACCAAUUAAGACAUGCAGAUCCUUUUAAAAGUAAAUAGGUACAAAUGCGAUAAAUGAAACUAAAGAAACCAAAAACAUACAUUUUUUUGUGAAAUCAAUAUGUAAUUUUAAAAUAAUGUAUAAAAUUUUCGCUUUUCAAUUAAAGAAAAACUAAUUUAAAUCGCACUCGUUUCACAA
Anoplophora glabripennis (Asian longhorned beetle) is the source of this 3026-nucleotide RNA transcript. It is a transcript of the gene named zinc finger protein 493-like, with no coding region annotated. NCBI's taxonomy places the organism in Eukaryota, Metazoa, Arthropoda, Insecta, Coleoptera, Cerambycidae. The transcript is spliced from 5 exons. The record is from RefSeq and is a predicted model, not a curated record.